RNAcentral lists this ribosomal RNA (253 nucleotides) under uncultured bacterium. RNAcentral's name for it is "partial 16S ribosomal RNA". It matches the Rfam family "Bacterial small subunit ribosomal RNA", at positions 524 to 776 of the family's 1533-position model. The record is from RNAcentral.
UACAGAGGUGGCAAGCGUUGUUCGGAAUUACUGGGCGUAAAGGGCUCGUAGGCGGCCAACUAAGUCGGACGUGAAAUCCCCCGGCUUAACCUGGGAACUGCGUCUGAUACUGGAUGGCUUGAAUCCGGGAGAGGGAUGCAGAAUUCCAGGUGUAGCGGUGAAAUGCGUAGAUAUCUGGAGGAAUACCGGUGGCGAAGGCGGCAUCCUGGACCGGCAUUGACGCUGAGGAGCGAAAGCUAGGGGAGCAAACGGG